This 482-nucleotide ribosomal RNA is filed under the name uncultured bacterium. RNAcentral describes it as "bacterial SSU rRNA". It matches the Rfam family "Bacterial small subunit ribosomal RNA", at positions 8 to 518 of the family's 1533-position model. The record is from RNAcentral.
AGAGUUUGAUUAUGGCUCAGGAUGAACGCUGGCGGCGUGCCUAACACAUGCAAGUCGAGCGAUCUCUCGGAGAAGAGCGGCGGACGGGUGAGUAACGCGUGGGUAACCUGCCUCAUACACAUGGAUAACAUACCGAAAGGUAUGCUAAUACAGGAUAAUAUAAGAGAUUCACAUGGAUUUCUUAUCAAAGCUCCGGCGGUAUGAGAUGGACCCGCGUCUGAUUAGCUAGUUGGUAAGGUAACGGCUUACCAAGGCGACGAUCAGUAGCCGACCUGAGAGGGUGAUCGGCCACAUUGGAACUGAGACACGGUCCAAACUCCUACGGGAGGCAGCAGUGGGGAAUAUUGCACAAUGGGCGAAAGCCUGAUUGCAGCAACGCCGCGUGAGUGAUGAAGGCCUUCGGGUCGUAAAACUCUGUCCUCAAGGAAGAUAAUGACGGUACUUGAGGAGGAAGCCCCGGCUAACUACGUGCCAGCCGCCGC